This 107-nucleotide small nucleolar RNA is filed under the name Gossypium hirsutum (cotton). Its description in RNAcentral is "Plant small nucleolar RNA R71". It matches the Rfam family "Plant small nucleolar RNA R71". Rfam says of the family: R71 is a member of the C/D box family of snoRNAs containing the C (UGAUGA) and D (CUGA) box motifs. Multiple nearly identical copies of this snoRNA have been identified in Arabidopsis, and it is thought to function as a 2'-O-ribose methylation guide for 18S ribosomal RNA. The record is from Rfam by way of RNAcentral. Lineage: Eukaryota; Viridiplantae; Streptophyta; Magnoliopsida; Malvales; Malvaceae.
AACCCAUGGUGAGGGCACCUUCUAAGUAAGUCCUUCUAUCUCUCCCAUGCAUCGUAAAGUGUUUCUAAAUCUAUCUGCACAAAAGAAGAAAUACCAUUACGUAACUU